AAAAUUUUAAGUUAAUAAAACUAUAAGCCUUCAAAGUUUAGUAUAUUAGUUAAAUCUAAUAAAUUUUA
Molecule: transfer RNA, 68 nt
Filed under: Ptenothrix huangshanensis
Lineage: Eukaryota; Metazoa; Arthropoda; Collembola; Symphypleona; Dicyrtomidae
Description: tRNA-Trp
Source: RNAcentral